Molecule: ribosomal RNA, 495 nt
Filed under: uncultured bacterium
Lineage: Bacteria
Description: partial 16S ribosomal RNA
Rfam family: Bacterial small subunit ribosomal RNA
Source: RNAcentral
GACGAACGCUGGCGGCGUGCCUAAUACAUGCAAGUAGAACGCUGAAGGAGGAGCUUGCUUCUCUGGAUGAGUUGCGAACGGGUGAGUAACGCGUAGGUAACCUGCCUGGUAGCGGGGGAUAACUAUUGGAAACGAUAGCUAAUACCGCAUAAGAGUAGAUGUUGCAUGACAUUUGCUUAAAAGGUGCAAUUGCAUCACUACCAGAUGGACCUGCGUUGUAUUAGCUAGUUGGUGGGGUAACGGCUUACCAAGGCGACGAUACAUAGCCGACCUGAGAGGGUGAUCGGCCACACUGGGACUGAGACACGGCCCAGACUCCUACGGGAGGCAGCAGUAGGGAAUCUUCGGCAAUGGACGGAAGUCUGACCGAGCAACGCCGCGGGAGUGAAGAAGGUUUUCGGAUCGUAAAGCUCGGUUGUAAGAGAAGAACGAGUGUGAGAGUGGAAAGUUCACACUGUGACGGUAUCUUACCAGAAAGGGACGGCUAACUACGUG